AUUUCCUAACUGAAUGUGACAUUUGUCCAUAUGCUUGCACAUAUAGUUGACAUGUAUUAAUAACACCACUGAGGUUGUAAACGUUAGGUCUAUGGGUCAUUGUGAUCAUGGUGUCUUUAAAAUUGGACCAUUCUCUCCAAUAAGAAUCUCAUGCAAAUGGACAGAACAAUGUUACAGAAAAAACUAUACUAAGAGACAUGUAUAGCCUAGUGUAGGUCUAGCCUACUGAUAAGGUCCGCAUUUUUACAACUAAAGCUACUGGCUACCAUUUAUUAUCUCAUUCUAAAAUACAUCCUCUACAGGACUUUUGUUGUGAAAGAUGGGUUUUUAUGUCUCUCCUUCGUAAGGUGACGUCACGCUCAUGAAAUUGACAGGCCACCUGUGGGGACGAAUCGGGAUUUAAAUGGAUAUGGCCAUCAUAAAAACUGUAGGUUGUGAUACGGCACAUGGCAGAAAGAUGCACAGUCAAUACUUUCGAUUCCAGUUCCAGAGGCGGCGCAGACAGCAUCUGCAAGAUGUAUACGUGGGACGACUGGUCAAACCGCAAUAGUUCAUGUCGGGAGGGAUGCUGAUCAUAUCAACAGCAAACAGAUGUAUUUCAUAUCAAAUUAAGCCCGUUGGAUUGUACAAUAGCAACCAUCUUCUAUUUGAUAAAGAUACCCAGCAGGGUAAGUGCAUAUUUACCAAAUCCCCUUCUGUUGGCACCCUCAGAUAGCUAGCUGCUUUCUGUGUAACACAUUUUACCUCUAAUUUGGAUUUAUAAUGUUUAUAAAGUGGGACCAUUGUUGGCUUCCCUUUGUGGAAUGAUUGGCCAUCAUGUCCAUUGUAAUUUAAAGGUAUAAGAAAUAAUAUUCUUAAAUAAUCUUUGUGUAACCAGUAAUAUUGACAUCUUCAGACAGGAGCUCACCAUGCAGUGGUGUUUUAUCCCUCUUGGCAGCUAACCUCAGAAAGAGGGCAAUCUGACAUUUUAAGGAGUACCUCCACAUGAAACCUCCCCUUUUUGAGGCUUUUAAAGAAAAAUAAAGAAUGAAUAGCACCGUAGGGACAUUUUAUUGACAUCAAAACAUUGCAGAAUCUGUGUAAAGCGGGAGCCAUUUGUCGCUGUAUUUGAAGUGCAAUCACAAUCAGCAUGCAUUGGCAGUGACAAUGCUAUUCCUCCCUGCCCCCUCCAGUGAUCCCCCAUGGAGCAGCAGGGAGACUGAGACCCCUGUUUGAUCUGGCCUUGUUACUGGCGUCUGAAGGAUGAACGCUCUGCUCCGCACAACACAAAAUGAUCCAGGGUGAGAGAGAGAGCUUGCAAAAUCUU
RNAcentral lists this long non-coding RNA (1306 nucleotides) under Oncorhynchus kisutch (coho salmon). RNAcentral's name for it is "lncRNA (ENSOKIG00005031272.1)". The record is from RNAcentral. Lineage: Eukaryota; Metazoa; Chordata; Actinopteri; Salmoniformes; Salmonidae.